AUUCAAAUAUCUUAUAUAGAGUAUAAUACUGAAGUUGUUGUUGAAAUAAUUAAUUUAUUUUUGAAUA
This 67-nucleotide transfer RNA is filed under the name Haania vitalisi. RNAcentral describes it as "tRNA-Phe". Lineage: Eukaryota; Metazoa; Arthropoda; Insecta; Mantodea; Haaniidae. The record is from RNAcentral.